Molecule: long non-coding RNA, 434 nt
Organism: Drosophila arizonae
Lineage: Eukaryota; Metazoa; Arthropoda; Insecta; Diptera; Drosophilidae
Source: RefSeq, a predicted model, not a curated record
AUGUGGAAAGUGAAAAUGACGAGGCUGUGAUUUUUGUGUCCGACUCACGAGAUCCAUUAGAGUUUAUCGACUUGACCGAACAUGAGGACCAAUUUUAAAAUCAAGGUUAAAGUUAUUUUGUUAUUAAAUUUUGUUGUUAAUGGGAAAUUGCAUUGUUUGUUGGAAUUAUAAUCUAAUUAUGUUUGAUUACAAAUUGCAUGAGACUAAUGAAGAUUGAAUUUAAACUGUCAGGAUAUUGGAGACGUCAGAGAUGGAGUGAAACGCUUCAGCCGGACAAUCUUAUUAGCUUUUGCAUUGACUUGGGCAGAAUGCUAUGAAACUCAAGAGCCUCAAGAUAUAAGAACCUGUUAAGCUUUUCAUUAUAGCAAACAAAUGAAGUUUUAUUUAAAAAUUUAAAAGCAAAUCGACUUGGGCUUUGAACCCUGAAUUUUUUG